CUUUGCGGAGUCGACUCUCUCAGAGGUGGCAGAAAGACCAAACUCAAGGGAUGCGCGCGAGUCGUCUCCGAAGGACGCGGAGUCGUCCCCACGCAUAAAAAACAAACUUCCCGAGACGUCCCCAGAAAGCGCGGAGUCGACUCUCUUAGGGGAUUCCAGAGGACUUGUUUUUCGGUGAUAAAGCUACGGAGUCGUCCCCGACGUCGCGGAGUCGUCCCCAUGCAAAAAGCGCAAACAUCCCGAGACGUCCC
Molecule: long non-coding RNA, 251 nt
Filed under: Phoenix dactylifera (date palm)
Lineage: Eukaryota; Viridiplantae; Streptophyta; Magnoliopsida; Arecales; Arecaceae
Description: long non-coding RNA (PDAC_LNC011926)
Source: RNAcentral